RNAcentral lists this non-coding RNA (27 nucleotides) under Rattus norvegicus (Norway rat). The record is from RNAcentral. Lineage: Eukaryota; Metazoa; Chordata; Mammalia; Rodentia; Muridae.
UGUGUUAGGUUUACAAGGUUUCAUUCA